UACAGAGGGCCCGAGCGUUACGCAGAUUCACUGGGCUCAAAGGGUGCGUAGGCGGAAAUCUAAGUGUCUCGUGAAAUCCCACGGCUCAACCGUGGAAUUGCGGGGCAUACUGGGUUUCUUGAGGCUGGUAAGCGCCGCCGGAACUGUAGGUGUAGCGGUGAAAUGCGUAGAUAUCUACAGGAACGCCGAUGGUGAAGACGGGCGGCUGGGCCAGUUCUGACGCUGAGGCACGAAAGCGUGGGGAUCAAACAGG
This 253-nucleotide ribosomal RNA is filed under the name uncultured bacterium. RNAcentral's name for it is "partial 16S ribosomal RNA". It matches the Rfam family "Bacterial small subunit ribosomal RNA", at positions 524 to 776 of the family's 1533-position model. The record is from RNAcentral.